RNAcentral lists this ribosomal RNA (1470 nucleotides) under metagenome. Its description in RNAcentral is "bacterial SSU rRNA". It matches the Rfam family "Bacterial small subunit ribosomal RNA". The record is from RNAcentral.
AGAGUUUGAUCCUGGCUCAGGAUGAACGCUAGCGGCAGGCCUAAUACAUGCAAGUCGAGGGGUAACAGGUGUAGCAAUACAUGCUGACGACCGGCGCACGGGUGCGUAACACGUAUAUAAUCUACCUUUUACUGGAGAAUAGCCCGAAGAAAUUUGGAUUAAUACUCCAUAAUAAUAUUGAGGGGCAUCUCUUGAUAUUUAAAGUUCAGACGGUAAAAGAUGAGUAUGCGCGAUAUUAGCUAGUUGGUGAGGUAACGGCUCACCAAGGCGACGAUAUCUAGGGGUACUGAGAGGUUACACCCCCACACUGGUACUGAGACACGGACCAGACUCCUACGGGAGGCAGCAGUAAGGAAUAUUGGACAAUGGUCGCAAGACUGAUCCAGCCAUGCCGCGUGCAGGAUGACUGCCCUAUGGGUUGUAAACUGCUUUUAUACGGGAAUAAACCCGGGUACGUGUACCCGGCUGAAUGUACUGUAAGAAUAAGGGUCGGCUAACUUCGUGCCAGCAGCCGCGGUAAGACGAAGGACCCAAGCGUUAUCCGGAUUCAUUGGGUUUAAAGGGUGCGUAGGCGGGUUGAUAAGUCAGUGGUGAAAGCCCAACGCUUAACGUUGGAACUGCCAUUGAUACUGUCGAUCUUGAAUGUGUUUGAUGUGGGCGGAAUAUGACAUGUAGCGGUGAAAUGCUUAGAUAUGUCAUAGAACACCGAUUGCGAAGGCAGCUCACAAAGCCACUAUUGACGCUGAGGCACGAAAGCGUGGGGAUCAAACAGGAUUAGAUACCCUGGUAGUCCACGCCGUAAACUUUGAUCACUCGCUGUUGGCGAUACACUGUCAGCGGCUAAGCGAAAGCGUUAAGUGAUCCACCUGGGGAGUACGGUCGCAAGACUGAAACUCAAAGGAAUUGACGGGGGCCCGCACAAGCGGUGGAGCAUGUGGUUUAAUUCGAUGAUACGCGAGGAACCUUACCAGGGCUUGAAAGUUAGCGACUUACCGUGAAAGCGGUGAUCCCUUCGGGGCGCGAAACUAGGUGCUGCAUGGCUGUCGUCAGCUCGUGCCGUGAGGUGUUGGGUUAAGUCCCGCAACGAGCGCAACCCCUACUUCUAGUUGCCAACAGGUAAUGCUGGGGACUCUAGAGGAACUGCCCGCGCAAGCGGUGAGGAAGGUGGGGACGACGUCAAGUCAUCACGGCCCUUACGUCCUGGGCUACACACGUGCUACAAUGGCGGAGACAACGGGCAGCUACACUGCGAAGUGAUGCUAAUCUCUAAACUCCGUCUCAGUUCGGAUUGAAGUCUGCAACUCGACUUCAUGAAGCUGGAAUCGCUAGUAAUCGCGUAUCAGCAAUGACGCGGUGAAUACGUUCCCGGGCCUUGUACACACCGCCCGUCAAACAAUGGAAGCUGGGAGUACCUAAAGUCAGUAGUCGCAAGACGCUGCCUAGGGUAAAACCGGUAACUGGUGUUAAGCC